AUUGAACGCUGGCGGCAUGCCUUACACAUGCAAGUCGAACGGUAACGCGGGGCAACCUGGCGACGAGUGGCGAACGGGUGAGUAAUACAUCGGAACGUGCCCAGUAGUGGGGGAUAGCCCGGCGAAAGCCGGAUUAAUACCGCAUACGACCUAUGGGUGAAAGCGGGGGAUCGCAAGACCUCGCGCUAUUGGAGCGGCCG
RNAcentral lists this ribosomal RNA (200 nucleotides) under uncultured bacterium. Its description in RNAcentral is "partial 16S ribosomal RNA". It matches the Rfam family "Bacterial small subunit ribosomal RNA", at positions 30 to 232 of the family's 1533-position model. The record is from RNAcentral.